RNAcentral lists this long non-coding RNA (199 nucleotides) under Nicotiana benthamiana. Its description in RNAcentral is "long non-coding RNA (NBEN_LNC009832)". Lineage: Eukaryota; Viridiplantae; Streptophyta; Magnoliopsida; Solanales; Solanaceae. The record is from RNAcentral.
GUCUUUACAUAUCAAAGACAGUUUUAACUCAACUGCCUAUCUAGUAAAAACACGAAAUCUAUGCUACUCUAAUAUUCAGUAUUCAUAUCAUGAAUUGCUGAAUAUGUAUACUAAGCCUAGGAUGAGCUCGAACAUUACAAAUAUAGGCUAUACUACUUAGGAGUUUGUCACAAUUACAGUAAGUGUUUUCAAAGANNNN